AGAGAUAUAGCUCAGUGAUAGAGCACAUGCUUAGGAUGCAUAAGACCCUGGGUUCAACACCAGCACCACUU
Molecule: transfer RNA, 71 nt
Filed under: Heterocephalus glaber (naked mole-rat)
Lineage: Eukaryota; Metazoa; Chordata; Mammalia; Rodentia; Bathyergidae
Rfam family: tRNA
About the family: Transfer RNA (tRNA) molecules are approximately 80 nucleotides in length. Their secondary structure includes four short double-helical elements and three loops (D, anti-codon, and T loops).
Source: Rfam by way of RNAcentral